UGCAGUCGAGCGGACUUAUAAAAGCUUGCUUUUGUAAGUCAGCGGCGGACGGGUGAGUAACACGUGGGCAACCUGCCUAUAAGACUGGGAUAACUUCGGGAAACCGGAGCUAAUACCGGAUAAUAUAAAGAACCUCCUGGUUCUUUAUUGAAAGACGGUUUCGGCUGUCACUUAUAGAUGGGCCCGCGGCGCAUUAGCUAGUUGGUGAGGUAACGGCUCACCAAGGCGACGAUGCGUAGCCGACCUGAGAGGGUGAUCGGCCACACUGGGACUGAGACACGGCCCAGACUCCUACGGGAGGCAGCAGUAGGGAAUCUUCCACAAUGGACGAAAGUCUGAUGGAGCAACGCCGCGUGAGCGAUGAAGGCCUUCGGGUCGUAAAGCUCUGUUGUUAGGGAAGAACAAGUGCGAGAGUAACUGCUCGCACCUUGACGGUACCUAACCAGAAAGCCACGGCUAACUACGUGCCAGCAGCCGCGGUAAUACGUAGGUGGCAAGCGUUGUCCGGAAUUAUUGGGCGUAAAGCGCGCGCAGGUGGUUCCUUAAGUCUGAUGUGAAAGCCCACGGCUCAACCGUGGAGGGGUCAUUGGAA
This 592-nucleotide ribosomal RNA is filed under the name bacterium SL1.38. RNAcentral describes it as "bacterial SSU rRNA". It matches the Rfam family "Bacterial small subunit ribosomal RNA", at positions 56 to 631 of the family's 1533-position model. The record is from RNAcentral.